RNAcentral lists this transfer RNA (69 nucleotides) under Galegeeska rufescens (East African long-eared elephant shrew). Its description in RNAcentral is "tRNA-Gly". Lineage: Eukaryota; Metazoa; Chordata; Mammalia; Macroscelidea; Macroscelididae. The record is from RNAcentral.
ACUCUCUUAGUAUAAUCAGUACUGCUGACUUCCAAUCAGCCAGAUUCAGCUAUACCCUGAAAGAGAGUA